RNAcentral lists this ribosomal RNA (253 nucleotides) under uncultured bacterium. RNAcentral describes it as "partial 16S ribosomal RNA". It matches the Rfam family "Archaeal small subunit ribosomal RNA", at positions 474 to 727 of the family's 1478-position model. The record is from RNAcentral.
UACCAGCACCCCGAGUGGUCGGGACGAUUAUUGGGCCUAAAGCCUCCGUAGCCGGUUCUACAAGUCUUCCGUUAAAUCCACCUGCUUAACAGAUGGGCUGCGGAGGAUACUAUAGAGCUAGGAGGCAGGAGAGGCAAGCGGUACUCAGUGGGUAGGGGUAAAAUCCGUUGAUCCAUUGAAGACCACCAGUGGCGAAGGCGGCUUGCCAGAAUGCGCUCGACGGUGAGGGAUGAAAGCUGGGGGAGCAAACCGG